UACGUAGGGGGCAAGCGUUGUCCGGAUUUAUUGGGCGUAAAGAGCGUGUAGGCGGCUUGACAGGUCUGCUGUGAAAACUCGAGGCUCAACCUCGAGAUGUCGGCGGAAACCGUCUGGCUAGAGUCCGGAAGAGGAGAGUGGAAUUCCUGGUGUAGCGGUGAAAUGCGCGGAUAUCAGGAGGAACACCGAUGGCGAAGGCAGGUCACUGGGCCGCAACUGACGCUGAGGAGCGAAAGCAUGGGGAGCGAACAGG
This 253-nucleotide ribosomal RNA is filed under the name uncultured bacterium. RNAcentral describes it as "partial 16S ribosomal RNA". It matches the Rfam family "Bacterial small subunit ribosomal RNA", at positions 524 to 776 of the family's 1533-position model. The record is from RNAcentral.